CGGAGGGCACGGACGAGCUGUGCUGCCUGCUGCAGCUGCAGGGCUGGUCUGCGGGCAGCGGCGUGGCGCCGUCUGGCGCUGAGCUGCUGACUGCGCCGCCUGGCUUCGUGGAGGACGGCUGCACGCCAUGUCUGUCGGGUCCCUACCUGCACGCGGUGUGCCUGCCCAGCUGGGGCGCCAUCGUGCGUGCGCACCGCAAGGCGUCGGACGACCAUGUGCAGUUGCUGCGCGUGCGCGAGGGCGUGUUCGGGUCUGGCGGCGCGGCGCAGGCGGUUGCGAUCACGGAGGACAAGCUUGGCAUCCGCCUGCCCAAUGGCCGUGACGGCGACAACAACUAUGUGCUGGGUCUGGCUCUUGACACGACCGUGCCGCUGGACCCCAUCCCCAACCCUCUGAAUGCGGAGAAGCCGCCCCUGACGCCGCCGCCUGUGCUGCUGGUGGCGACGUCUGACGGCGUGCUGCGUGUGUACGGCUUUGGCCACGAGGAGCUUUCCAGCCCGGUGCGGCCAGGGCCCGACAGCGUGGUGCCGCUGCCGGCGGCGCCGCCCGCGUGGGCCACUGCCGCCGCCUCUCCAGCUGGGUUCAUGCCGUCUGGCUCGGCGCCGGACAUGACGGACACGGCCGCGCGGGCGGCGUUGCCAGAUGAUGACGAUGUGAGUGCGGGGCAGUGCCUGUGGUGGAUGAUCAGCAUCUUUAUUUGGCAUGUGCACCUUGUGUACGGUCUAAGGAAUACAUGACGGUGUGAGGCGGCUGAGGGAAUGAUCACGGCACAACGCAUCUCUCGCUUCAGGACCUGGAGGAGUCGGAGGGCGACGCGGAGGGCGGUACGGGCGGCCGCGCCAUGUCCACCGGCACGCAGUCAGCGGCGGCCGGCGGCGGCGGCUCCAUGGCGGCCUCGGGCGCGGGCGGCCGCGGCUCACCGCUGAGGGUGAGCGGCGCUGGGCCGGCUAGAGGGCUGGGCCGGCUAGAGGGCUGGGCCGGGUAGAGGGCUGUGGGUCAUACAGGCUACAAUCACGUGGCGUUGCGGUCACACACGGGCUAGCAAUGCCGUCCUCUGUGCGCCUUCUCUUGGCCGAGUCGUCCCGCUGCUUUCGUGUCCCCUGCACUCGCGCAGGCUUCCAGUAGCUCCUCGGCCCUGGCGGCCCAGGCAGGCCAGGCGGGCGGCAGCGGCUUUGGCUUUGGCGGCUUCGGGGCGGCGCUGGAGAGCCGCGCGGCGGCGGCGGCGCUGCCAGGCGGCAGUGGCGGCGGCGACGACGACCUGGCGGAGGAUGGCGACAGCGACGGCGACAGCGGCUCACAUGCGGUGGCGCGCCCGGGCGGCCGCCGCAGGCUUGCCAGGGGCAGCGACUCGGAAAGCGGGGAGGAGGUCAACUCGCCGGGUGAGUGGCGUGCGCGCACACGCAUUUGGUUGGUGUGCGGAGAUUGUGCAAGCGGGAUAUGGCAAGCGGGCAGCGUACGAGCGCCCGUUGGGGGCUUACGAAAUACGUCCCCCGGUCCCUCCUGUGUGGCGUGUGCAGGCACCGGCGGCAAGGCGCCCCCUCCUCGCGCCGCGCCACCCGCCUUCGGCAUGCCCCCAGCGCCCAGCAGCAUGACCUUCCCCGCCUUUGGCGCGCCCACAGCUGCGGCCGCGUCCGGCAGCAGCGGCGGAGCGACCAGCAGCGCUACAGGUCCCUUCGGCGGAGCCGGCGGCGGCUUCGGCUUCGGCGCUCCAUCCGCGUCCACGGCCUUCGGGACGUCGCUGUUCGGGGCGGCUGCGCCCGCAGCCCCGGCCCUGGGCUCAGGCGGGGGCCUCUUUGGUGCGCCCAAGCCGCCGGCCAUGCCGUCCGCCGGCUUUGGCUUUGGCAUGGGUGACUCGAAGCCACCGGCCGUGGAGGCAGCGCUGGUGCCGCCCAGUGCGGCUCGCUCCACCAGCAGCAGCGCCGCACCCGCGGCCCCGGGCGGCUUCGCCUUUGGCUCCGGCCCCAGCGCCGUCACCACAGGUGCGUCUAGCGCGCCUGCGGCUGCCGCCCCCGCCCCCGUGGCAGCUGCAAGCAGCGGCGCCAGCGGCGGUGGCUUUGGCUUUGGCUUUGGCAUGCCGGCCUCGCCAGGCGCGGCCGUUGCAGCGACCAGCACCGCCAGCACGGCGCCGGCCGCACCAGCAGCUGUUGGCGGCCUGUUCGGCGCGACCUCGGGCGCCACAGGCAAUAGCAGCGGCAGCAGCUCCGCAGCCCCCGCAACCACCACCACCUCGACCAGUGCACCGUCAGGCGGGCUCUUCGGCGCACCCGCCGCCCCCGCCCCCUCCGGCUUUGGCGCCCCUGCUGCCGGCGGCCUGUUUGGCAGCAGCAGCACAGCCCCCUCUGGGGGCCUGUUCGGCGCGCCUGCAGCUGGGGGCUCCCUUUUUGGCGGCAGCAACGCAACGGGCGUGUCAGGUGGCCUGUUCGGCGCCGCGGCACCCUCCGUGCCCGCGAUGGGUGGUGGCAUCUUCGGUUCCGCCAGCACCGGCGGCAGCACCACCGGCACCGCCGCCUCCAGCGGCGCGGCGCCCUUCAGCGCAGCCGUGGCCUCCGCUGCCGCGCUGUUCGGGGCCAACACCGCCCCCGCCACCGCAGCCGCCCCCGCCUUCUCCUUCGCCAGCACCGGCGCCCCCUCGGCGGCCCCUACGCCGGCGGCCACUAAGCCCGCCGCGUUUGGGUUUGGCUUCGGCGCCCCCGCCCCCGCCCCUGCAGCCGCUCCUCCGGUUCCUGCCGCGGCACCUGCGCCCACGCCCGCCCCUCCCCCCGCGCCCGCCCCUGCGCCGGCACCUGCGCCGGCCCCCAAGCCGGCUGCGCCUGCGUCUGCGCCUGCCUCUGCGCCCGCCCCGGCGGCGCCCUCGGGUCCUAAGCCCGCUGCCGUGAAGAAGGCGCCGGGUCCGGAUGUGCCGCCCUCCAGCGGCGAGCUGGAGGACGCCGAGGACGUGGGCUUUUACUUCAAGUUCUAUGGUGGCAUCGAUUUCUGCGGCCCGGACGCGGCGCCGGCUUCCGACGCGCCGGGCGCCACCAGGCUGGUCGCGGCCAGCAGCAAGCAUGGGCUUGUGUUUUUCAGCGACCUGCAAGGUGUGCGCGCGGCGAAGGCAUGGUGCUUGAGCUGCGGCAGUCUCGAUCGGGCCGCGCAAUGCUGCCGCUGGGCGUACUGACUGGGUGCCGGACGUAUGACGCCUCUGCCCUAUCCCCCCUUGCCCCCUUGCGCCCCACUCUCGCAGGCGUGUACGCGCUCCGCACGUACGACCUGCCUGCGUUGCUGAGCAAGGCCGUGGGCACUGAGAAAUACGCUCGGCCCCAGCCCGCCGACGUGUGCGCCUGGCACGCCGGCCUGCGCGGCGUGACGGCCGUGUGCCUGUCUGCGGACCAGGCGGUGUUGGCGGCGGUGCAGGGCGGCGAGGGCCGCGUCAGCUUCUUCCCCCUGGCUGCCAUGACUGGCCCCGGCUCCGGCGCGCACUGGAGCCUGGAGCUAGGCAGUGUGCAGUCGUUUGCGUGGAGCAAGAGCGGCGCACUGCCCCAGGCGUUCCUGGCCGUGACCGCGGACCGGGCGCUGGUUCUGGGGCGGUAUGGCGACGCCAGCGCCGCGGUGGUGGUGGCUCCGUCUGGCGUGUAUGCCGCGGACUGGUGUCCCUCGGAUGCGCCUGUGUUUGGCUACAGCACGGGCCGGCGCCUGGCUCUGGUGUCCGUGGCGGCGGACCUGUCUGUGUGCGCGGUGGCUGGCUUGCCGCUUGAGCACCCCGGCGAGGCUGGCGCAGUGUUUGAGAGCGUGUCGUGGGUGCUUCCCGAUGCAUUGGUGCUGGGCGCUACACCGGUGGAGGAGGGCGGCGAUGCGGAGGGCACGGACGAGCUGUGCUGCCUGCUGCAGCUACAGGGCUGGUCUGCGGGCAGCGGCGCGGCGCCGUCUGGCGCUGAGCUGCUGACUGCGCCGCCUGGCUUCGUGGAGGACGACUGCACGCCAUGUCUGUCGGGUCCCUACCUGCACGCGGUGUGCCUGCCCAGCUGGGGCGCCAUCGUGCGUGCGCACCGCAAGGCGUCGGACGACCAUGUGCAGUUGCUGCGCGUGCGCGAGGGCGUGUUCGGGUCUGGCGGCGCGGCGCAGGCGGUUGCGAUCACGGAGGACA
This 4120-nucleotide long non-coding RNA is filed under the name Chlamydomonas reinhardtii. RNAcentral describes it as "long non-coding RNA (CREI_LNC000592)". Lineage: Eukaryota; Viridiplantae; Chlorophyta; Chlorophyceae; Chlamydomonadales; Chlamydomonadaceae. The record is from RNAcentral.